AUGGAAUGGAGCUUGAUCGUCCUCUUCCUCCUGUCAAUAACUACAGGUGUGCACUCCCAGGUCCAGCUGCUGCAGUCUGGGGAUGAGCUGAGGAGACCUAGGUCCUCAGUGAAGUUGUCCUGCAAGGCUUCUGGCUACACCUUCACAGACUACUAUAUGCACUGGGUGAAGCAGAAGCCAGGACAGGGCCUGGAGUGGAUUGGAGAGAUUGAUCCUGAAGAUGGUAGGACUAUCUACAAUGAGAAGUUCCAGGGCAAGGCCACACUGACUGCAGACACAUCAUUCAACACAGCCUACAUGGAGCUCAGCAGCCUGACAUCUGAGGACUCUGCAGUCUAUUACUGUGCAAGACACAGUGUUGCAACCACAUCCUGA
Molecule: non-coding RNA, 375 nt
Organism: Acomys russatus (golden spiny mouse)
Lineage: Eukaryota; Metazoa; Chordata; Mammalia; Rodentia; Muridae
Source: the annotation of a RefSeq genome assembly